UACGAAGGGGGCUAGCGUUGCUCGGAAUUACUGGGCGUAAAGCGCACGUAGGCGGCUUUCUAAGUCGGGGGUGAAAUUCUGGAGCUCAACUCCAGAACUGCCUUCGAUACUGGAGAGCUCGAGUCCGGGAGAGGUGAGUGGAACUGCGAGUGUAGAGGUGAAAUUCGUAGAUAUUCGCAAGAACACCAGUGGCGAAGGCGGCUCACUGGCCCGGUACUGACGCUGAGGUGCGAAAGCGUGGGGAGCAAACAGG
Molecule: ribosomal RNA, 253 nt
Filed under: uncultured bacterium
Lineage: Bacteria
Description: partial 16S ribosomal RNA
Rfam family: Bacterial small subunit ribosomal RNA
Source: RNAcentral